GCGGACAACUUGGAGCAAGAACCCGAAGGAGAAAGUAACAAAAGAUGUGAAGAGGCAACUACGAAACACAGUAAACGACGACGAAAGAAGUCUUCUCCGCACUCGUUCGGAUGUCGCAGAUAUUACGGCAUUCGGGACCAGGACCGUUGGUGCUCUGGAUGCAGGAACAAGAAGCGUUGCAAAAGAAAUAUCGAGCAACUGCGGUGACGUCACGUGUAGUCGUAGCGACUGUAACAAAUGCCGGCACAGAGUUCGACGUAAUUUUUGUGCCUGUAGAGCCUUCGUCAUAGUGUUAUUACCGAAGCUCUCGACAGUGAGGGACUUCGUUGCACAACCCUCUUGUAACGUUCCGUAUUUGGUUGUUGUUUAUUGACAAAAUUAACUGUAUACUUUGGCUAACGUUGUUGUUUGUGAAAUGUGUUGUUGCGCGAUUUGAAUUUGUUUAGCCUUUAUGAUUAGUUUAUAAGCAAUUAAUUAAAGAGUGCUGGUAGUAUACGUAU
Corticium candelabrum is the source of this 500-nucleotide long non-coding RNA. RefSeq lists it as uncharacterized. Lineage: Eukaryota; Metazoa; Porifera; Homoscleromorpha; Homosclerophorida; Plakinidae. The transcript has 3 exons. The record is from RefSeq and is a predicted model, not a curated record.